This 254-nucleotide ribosomal RNA is filed under the name uncultured bacterium. RNAcentral's name for it is "partial 16S ribosomal RNA". It matches the Rfam family "Bacterial small subunit ribosomal RNA", at positions 524 to 776 of the family's 1533-position model. The record is from RNAcentral.
UACGUAGGGGGCAAGCGUUGUUCGGAUUUACUGGGCGUAAAGGGCGCGUAGGCGGCAUAUUAAGUCAUCUGUGAAAUCUCCGAGCUUAACUCGGAACUGUCAGCUGAUACUGAUGUGCUAGAGUGCGGAAGGGGCAAUCGGAAUUCUUGGUGUAGCGGUGAAAUGCGUAGAUAUCAAGAGGAACACCUGAGGUGAAGACGGGUUGCUGGGCCGACACUGACGCUGAGUGCGCGAAAGCCAGGGGAGCAAACGGG